Molecule: long non-coding RNA, 732 nt
Filed under: Dermacentor andersoni
Lineage: Eukaryota; Metazoa; Arthropoda; Arachnida; Ixodida; Ixodidae
Description: uncharacterized LOC126534658
Source: RNAcentral
GACGGAACUCAAGCUAUUAAGAAAACUUUGGAGCUACAGUUGUGAGGAGCCACUUAUGGAACCGGUGGGGGACUGCACCGCAAAUAUAAACAAGUACUUCUUCAACAAAACCGCGAACAUGUGUCAAAAGUUUUAUUGGAAUGGCUGCCUUUCCAGAGGUGUGUACGAAACCCGCUACGAAUGUGCACUCAGCUGCCACGUCGGUGAAGCAGCUGCAUUCUGUGCAGCGCCUCCUCCUCCUAGCGGAUGCGGCGGACAAACGAAAGGAGGCUGGGGACAUCAUUACGAAAUGAAUGCGUUCUACUACGACGUCAGUACGAGGACUUGCAAGUCUUUUAAAUUCUGUGGACCUCCAGUACCACCAGACUCAAACUUUUUCACCAGCGUGUCGAUGUGUAUCAUGGAAUGCGAAGGAUUUCCCUUCGGAGAAUAGGAGCCACAGCACAGGUUUUCUUCAACUGCCUUACCUGAACCAAGUCGUUCAAGUGCUGUCUAAUAAUAUACGUACAGCCGGUGUAUUCAGCAUUGUUUUACAAAACUUAUCUGUGCGGACAUUUUCACAACUGUUUACCUGGGCGUGGAUGUGAAAACUUCCUUACUGUUACCUGGAACACUAGUAUUCUAUUUUCUUAUGUGUACACAACACUGGCCUUCUUAUUCCGACGAUAACAGCCACCGUUAACGCAUAUCACGGAACGCCCUUGAAUAGUCUCAUCUUUAGUGGUCUUUUCA